RNAcentral lists this ribosomal RNA (846 nucleotides) under uncultured bacterium. Its description in RNAcentral is "bacterial SSU rRNA". It matches the Rfam family "Bacterial small subunit ribosomal RNA", at positions 28 to 896 of the family's 1533-position model. The record is from RNAcentral.
GACGAACGCUGGCGGCGUGCCUAAAACAUGCAAGUCGGACGAGUCACCGCAAGGUGGCUAGUGGCGAACGGCUGAGUAACACGUGAGUGACCUGUCCCUGGGUGGGGGAUAACGGUCCGAAAGGAUCGCUAAUACCGCAUACGACCGCAAGGGUAGAGCCUUGUGGGGAAAGGUAUUUCGCCCGGGGAGGGGCUCGCGGCCCAUCAGGUAGUUGGUGAGGUAACGGCCCACCAAGCCUAUGACGGGUAGCUGGUCUGAGAGGAUGGCCAGCCAGACUGGGACUGAGACACGGCCCAGACUCCUACGGGAGGCAGCAGUUAGGAAUCUUGCGCAAUGGGGGAAACCCUGACGCAGCGACGCCGCGUGGGUGAAGAGGGCCUUCGGGUCGUAAAGCCCUUUUCCGGGGGACGAUAAUGACGGUACCCCGGGAAUAAGCCCCGGCUAACUACGUGCCAGCAGCCGCGGUAAUACGUAGGGGGCAAGCGUUGUCCGGAUUUACUGGGCGUAAAGAGCGCGCAGGCAGCUCCGUAAGUUAGCUGUGAAAUCUCCCGGCUCAACCGGGAGGGGUCAGUUGAUACUGCGGGGCUUGAGGGCGGUAGGGGGAAGAUGGAAUUCCCGGUGUAGUGGUGAAAUGCGUAGAUAUCGGGAGGAACACCGAUGGCGAAAGCGAUCUCCUGGGCCGAUCCUGACGCUGAGGCGCGAAAGCGUGGGGAGCGAACUGAAUUAGAUACUCAGGUAGUCCACGCCUUAAACGAUGGCACUAGGUGUGGGGGGGGGUAUCGACCCCUCCCGUGCCGCAGCUAACGCAAUAAGUGUCCCGCCUGGGGGAGUACGGCCGCAAGGCUA